Molecule: long non-coding RNA, 3278 nt
Organism: Triticum aestivum (bread wheat)
Lineage: Eukaryota; Viridiplantae; Streptophyta; Magnoliopsida; Poales; Poaceae
Exons: 6
Source: RefSeq, a predicted model, not a curated record
GCCGGUUUCGGUUUGCAUCUCUGUCGCUCUGCAGAGUGGAGACGACGAGGCAGCCAGGCCGGCCGGAUCACCACCGCCACCGCGCCGCGCCAACCCUUGUACAGCCAGCCGGACUCCCUCGCUACGGCGGUUGCUGCCGGCGGCGCAUCUGGUGUCACGAACAUCACCACCUCUCGCCGGUAGCCGGCCGGCCGGCCGGCCGUCCAUGCCCGUGGCGACCACCGGCAUCAGCAGGGCAAGCACGGGCACGGCGGCGACUCCCGCUUCAUCCUGCGCUGCGACACAUCAGCCUCGUCCUCACCUUCCGCACACUUCCCCUCCGCCUCUCGAGGAGCGAGGUGAAUAAGAGGCUCGUUGACACCGAAGUUGAUUGCCUUCAGUGCUGUGAACAAAUUUAAGGAGGAUUGCGAGAUGCUGGAACAAACAUUUGUUCCUUACCUAGCCUGGUUGGAUUCUGCAGCUUCGAACCCCACACACAACCCAGAGGUGUCUUCCAGGUUGAAACUGAUUUACCGUCAGAGUGCUGUAUGUGUCUUCUUUUUCAUUCUUCAUGUUUCGAGUUUCCUAACCUGUUUGCGAAAAUAAAUGUCUCAUACCGCAAAUGUGGUGGUUGAUUGCCGUCUAGCAUGAAGGCUAUAUCACUUGAAAGCUGUACUGAACUUGUUGUUGGCAAAAUACACCGACAUAAGCAGUAUCUUUCUGAGUGGAAGUAUGCCUUUUCAUACUAAAUCUGAUGUGAAGGCUAUAUCAUUUGAAAGCUGUACUGAACAUGUUGUUGGCAAAAUACACCGACAUAAUCAAUAAAUUUCUGAGUGGAAGUAUGCCUUUUCAUACACAAUCCGCUGUUCGCUUGAUCCAGUUUUACUGGUUGUGCAACUAAAUGAUGUUUCAUGUUUUCAUACAUCUCAGUAGAUAUUUUGCACGGGUGUGUGUGUGUGGCAAAAACUGGCCGUUACUAAUCUGUUGAAUCCCAUGUAGCUGCUCUGGUAACUAUUCCUACAUAUAGGAGGAAUUAUGCUCUUGAAAAGGUUGAGUAACCUAAUAUUGAUAUUCAGAGAAUUAUGCAUGUGGAGGAGAAGCAACUGGUGUGGAAUUUCCAUUUUUCUUAUCUUAGAUAGAAGAAAGCUCUUACAAAGUUUGUCUGUUCAGUGGAAGUGAGUGAUAUCCAAGUUAGUUAAAACAUCCAGUUAUCCUUAUAUCUCAGCACGGCUUAUGUUUUGUACUGUUGUAUUUCGUAUGUGCAUCAGAGGAAAUGUGCUUUCUAGGCAUGUUGGACCGUACGAGUCCGAGAUUUCAUUAAUAUAAUAUGGUCAUGCCCAGUGAUCAAUACAAAGGACACUGGAAUUCGGUUUCUAAUGUCACUUUUUUUUUCCAUUUCAAACAUUAUCUGUGUUGAAAGGAAUCUAUGUCGUAACUUCUGCAUGUCUAUUUCACAUUCCUUGUUCUAAUUUCUAAAUGACAAAUUGACAAGGCAGCCUGUUAUAUAAUAUUGAGCUACCGACUCCACAUUAUCUUGAUAUAAUUUGCAAGGUUUAGUAUUGUGAUCGUGUGUGGGAAGCUAAAGAAGCUGUCGUAUUAUUGAUUGGAAAAUGGAAAGUGUGAACCAAUUGAUGUGAUGAUGACUCAGUCAGCAUUUGGUUAUCAUGGUCAGCAAUUUCUAUUUAUACUUAACUACUGUAUAUAAAACUCACAUGUUAUGAUCUGUUGUCCAUUUCUGCUUUAUUAAAUAUUGAAAUUGCUAGUUUCAUACUAACUUUUAUAGUCGAGAAAUUAGGACAGGUGUUGUCAGUAGUUGUUAGUGAGCAUCCUAACUUUGCUGAGGCAAUACUUGUUUUACAUCAUUAACUUGCUCACUGUUUACUAUUGAAAGCUAAGAAAAUAUGGAUCAUAUAUAUAUGGAUUAACUUGUCUUAGUUGCUUUAAUUGGUUUAAUUUGGAAAUUUCAUUUCAGCCAAUUCGUUCACUGUCAGCAGCUACACUUAUCCUUACUAGUGUUUCACCUAAGAGUCAUCCGUAUUCAAGAGUGCCUUAAAAUCCACCGCGUCUUACAUUUAAGUCGGCGAAUGGGGAAGCAUCCAAGAUAAUUUUCAGAAAGGGAGAUGACCUCCGCCAAGAGCAGCUGGAACAAAGGCAGUGGCACGGCCUUGAGUGGUGUGACCAUGUUGUGGGAUGUCCUAUACCGGUCCCUAACAUCCACGUCGCACGGUUGCAUCCCCACGGGCAGCCUCCACUUGAACCUGUGCAGCAGGAUGCGAGGAUGAGUGUCACAAUCCUCGUGGCCAUCGGCAUCCCAGGGCAGAUUCUUCUUUUAUUAUGAUCUUUUACUUUUGUUUCUACUCGACUCAGAUUGAUGUAACAAUGGCUAGCUAGCUACUGCCUUGCAUAUUGGUAAAUUAGUUAUACUACUGCCUUACAUUUGUUUUUCAUGCACUAUUGUUCUUCCAGGGUGAUCUCUGUUGUGAUUCCCUGUGUUCAUUCGGAGCAGGGGGCUGAUUAAUAGCUAUUCUUCCGGUCGCUUAAAACUGAUGUAACUUAGAUUCUUGUAUGUAGCCGUGAGGGCCAUCAUGGGCUCCACAUGUGCCCUAUUGCCGGCCCUUGAUGCGGCGCCCCAGCCUCCCUAUAGAGGACCGGAAGCUUGAAGUAGCAGGAGCAGCAACAUCUCUGACCCUUUCCUGAGGAGCUGCAGGUCCUAAACAAGGUCCUGGCCGAGUUCCUCCCUGUCUUGGCCUUGGGGCUACGUACAUUGCUGCUCUUCAUCAUGUUAUUUACGGACGCAUGCAAAAUUCUCAGGUACUUCUACCUAAGCCACGCAAGUUAGGUUGAACUCCGACGACAUGCCGAUUUUCGGGUACAUGUACCUGGUGCGUGCUGUCUGGUUUCAAUAGUGAGACCACCCUAAUGGAUCCAGCAAUUUCCCCUCCAUCAUUCUCACCUCGUCACGGAUUCUUACCUCGCUACGGGCAAGACCACCCUAAUGUUGGGUGGUGGAUGGCUCGGGGCUGGUAGUGGUGCAGCUCCUUGACAGUGGAACGCUCCAUUUAUCCUAUGUUAGUGGGUUCAAUGUUGUUGCUGGUGGUUUGCUCGUUCGACCGCUGACUUUGUGACCAUGUUGUCUUGUGGGUGGUUACAACGUUGGGAAAACUUUGUUUCGCCAUUCUAGUUUUUGCUCACUAUGUUAUGUCACUCUAGAAUGUGACAUCUCACUUUUAUCACACUUAGCUUUUGACAAUAUAUCACAAAUGCCAGGCCGUGGAAAAAAGCAAAUAUUUUUCAUUUCA